This 468-nucleotide ribosomal RNA is filed under the name uncultured bacterium. RNAcentral describes it as "partial 16S ribosomal RNA". It matches the Rfam family "Bacterial small subunit ribosomal RNA", at positions 28 to 507 of the family's 1533-position model. The record is from RNAcentral.
GACGAACGCUGGCGGCGUGCUUAACACAUGCAAGUCGAACGGAAAGGCCCUGCUUUUGUGGGGUGCUCGAGUGGCGAACGGGUGAGUAACACGUGAGUAACCUGCCCUUGACUUUGGGAUAACUUCAGGAAACUGGGGCUAAUACCGGAUAGGAGCUCCUGCUGCAUGGUGGGGGUUGGAAAGUUUCGGCGGUUGGGGAUGGACUCGCGGCUUAUCAGCUUGUUGGUGGGGUAGUGGCUUACCAAGGCUUUGACGGAUAGCCGGCCUGAGAGGGUGACCGGCCACAUUGGGACUGAGAUACGGCCCAGACUCGUACGGGAGGCAGCAGUGGGGAAUAUUGCACAAUGGGCGGAAGCCUGAUGCAGCAACGCCGCGUGCGGGAUGACGGCCUUCGGGUUGUAAACCGCUUUCGCCUGUGACGAAGCGUGAGUGACGGUAAUGGGUAAAGAAGCACCGGCUAACUACGUG